This 4384-nucleotide long non-coding RNA is filed under the name Gossypium barbadense (sea-island cotton). RNAcentral's name for it is "long non-coding RNA (GBAR_LNC018986)". Lineage: Eukaryota; Viridiplantae; Streptophyta; Magnoliopsida; Malvales; Malvaceae. The record is from RNAcentral.
GGUGUACAACCGACGAAGAAUGGGGAUUUGUGUUCCAUAUGGAACUAUGAUGGAAAGAUAGCAUACGAGGAUAUUGUUGCAGCAACAGAGGAUUUCGACUUUCGAUACUGUAUAGGAGUUGGUGGUUAUGGAAGUGUUUACAGAGCACAACUACCUUGUGGUAAAGUAGUUGCCUUGAAGAAACUUCAUCGUUUAGAAGAUGAAAAUCCAGCCUUUGACAAGAGCUUCAGGAAUGAGAUCAAGUUUCUAACAGAAAUACGACAUCGAAGCAUCGUAAAGCUUCAUGGGUUUUGUCUACACCGACGGUCCAUGUUUUUGAUCUACGAGUACAUGGAAAAAGGGAGUUUGUUCUGCAACCUAAGAGAUGAAGUGGAAGCUGUGGAAAUGGAUUGGACAAAAAGAGUGGAGAUCAUCAAGGGCAUAGCGCAUGCUUUGUCUUACUUGCACUAUGAUUGCAGCCCUCCAAUAGUUCAUCGAGACAUAUCAAGUAACAAUGUUCUUUUAAACUCGAGCUUUGAGGCCUUUGUAGCUGACUUUGGGACUGCUAAAAUGUUGGAUCUUGAAUCAUCCAAUCAGACCAUUAUUGUGGGCACAUGUGGUUAUGUAGCUCCAGGUGGUUUUCUUUGCUUCGUUUGAUGACAUUUUCUUCGGAAUUUAUAAAAUUAAUUGAACAUAUAAAUGAUUUUCUUUUUUAUCUGGUUUUUGGUAUGCAGAACUUGCAUAUACGUUGGUUGUCACCGAAAAAUGUGAUGUCUAUAUUUUUGGAGUGGUAGCACUGGAAACGUUAAUGGGAAAGCAUCCCGAAGAAUUGUUAUCAUGGUUGUCAUCACCAACUUCUUUGGUAAAUAUGAGGCUGAUUGAUGUGCUAGACAACCGUUUACCACUUCCGACAAGUCAAUUAGUUGCACAAAAUCUUGUUCGCAUUGCUACUUUGGCAUUCGCCUGCCUAAAUCCGCAACCUAAGUCUCGACCAACGAUGAAAAAAGUGUGCGAAGAGUUUCUUUGUGGUCAAACAUCCUUGGGAGUUCCCCUUCGGAUGAUCUCUUUGUUACAACUUGUGAACUGUGAAAUGCAUAUUGGAGGCAAAACUGGAACUUGUAAUGUUUAAACUCCAUGUGGCUGUUCUUGAUUAGAUAUUGUUUAUCAUGCUUUGAUGAUUUGUUUGUAAACCAUAUCCUGUGUUAUAUAUGGUGGAAUGAAUUGCAAUGUUCAAUAAAUUUGUUUAUUUGAUUGUUUUACAUAACAUAAAUUCGACAAUUUGAUCCAAAUAUUCAAACACCAUCCUAAUAGCUUCCUUCAAUUUCGUGCUUCUUAGAUAAAUAAAAUAUAAGUAAAUUAAUGGUGAAUUAAAGCAACAAAAUGCAACCAAUACAUUAAGAAUUUACCUGAACUAACUAUAAUUCAUUAAACAAUCUCUCCACUUAUGUAAUGGAAGUGAGAUUUCACAGAUCUGGGCUAGGUAACAUCCAAACUUAAAAAGCAACCAAAGGGGUCAAAAUGGAGCCAGCACAAAUUCCAACAUUUGUUUUUUUCCAUAUCAAGCACAUUAAGAUUUAUUGCUUGGUAGAGUUAAAAAUUGAAAUGAAAGAAAAUAAACAUUUAAAAAUGCAUAAUUUUGAACUAAUAUACACCUCUCUCUCAUUUUCUUUCUUUUCAUCAUUCUAAUUUGGAAGUAUCGGUUUUUAUACAUUACGAUGGAAAAUGAUUCUUUCCUCUCACUUUUCUUCCAUAUCAAGCACAUUCAAAUUAAAAUAUUUAUUUAAUUUUUAUACAUCGUAAAAUGUACCAAUAGAAUUAGAACAUUAAUACACAUAUCAAUUUUAAAAAAAAGAUUAAUUUUUAAUAUUUUUAAGCUUCGUAUAAUUUAGAAAAAAAUUGUCUUGAAUGAAUCUAGACAUAGACUUAACUUGUAAAUGGUUUUUAUUAAUUUUUAAUUUUUUGAACUUUAUUUAAUAUUUUUAUAAUUUUGAAUAUUUUUUUACAAAUUUAUAAAAUUUUAAAAAAUAAAUUUUUUUAAAUAUUUUUUUAAUUUAAAAAAAUUUUAAGCUUCGAAACGAAUGAACUUGGUACUGCAACAUCAGCAACUAUUCCUUUUAAAAAUUAAAUAUUCCUUUUAAUUUUUAUUUUUUAAAAUAAAUUUUUUUAUUUUUGUUGACAUGGUAGUUGAAAUGGUAAUGGCACAUCAACAACUAUCACUGACAUGAAGCAUCAUGUUAGCGUCGUUAAUGAUUAUGUCAACAUUGCAAUGGUCAACAUUAUUCAAAGGGUCUAUUUGGUCAAUUUUGUUAGUUUAGUGGCUCAAUUGGGUGCAAAAAGUUCGUAGAGAUUUAAUUAAUUUUUUUGAAAAAGUUCGAGGACCAAAAAUAGCAUUAAACCCUUCUUUAACUAUUGAUAUAUCCUUUUUUAUGUAUAGGUCAACGGCCUAUUUGACCAAUUUCCUUUAUUUUAGGGAUACUGCAAACUACCAUCUUUCUAAUUUCCAUUGCCAGAACUAUGACAGUAGUAGAUCCAUCGCCUUUGGCGUCCGAAGCCAUAGCUAUGGUAGAAAGUGGGUGGUGGAGUAACUAUAGCAACAAUGCUUCAGAACGUUGCCAGUGGCCAGGUAUAUCAUGCAACACUGCUCGAAGCAUCAUCCAAAUUAACUUAUCUUAUGCAUUCCUUAUCGAGGUUGGAGAUAGAUUUGGGAAAUUGAAUUUCUCUUCGUUUCCAAAUCUUGUCCUUCUUGAUCUUAGUCAUCGUCAACUUAGUGGAAAAAUCCUGUAUCAGAGAGGUUAUCUAUCAGCAUUGAAGCACCUUGACCUUUCCUUUUGUGGUUUUUCCGGUGAGUUACCUCCUCCUCUAGGAAACCUAACCCAAUUAGAAUUCCUUGACAUUUCCUAUAAUUAUAACAUUAACGGCUCCAUCCCUCCACAACUAGUGAAUCUAGUGAACCUUGUCAGUUUAAAUUUGAGUAGAACCGGUCUUAGUGGAAACAUUCCACCGUUCCUUGGGCUUUUGACCGACCUUAGGCAUCUACUUUUGGAUAGGUAUCAGUUUGAUGAUGGUAAGAAUACAAUCCCCCAAAAUUUGUGGAAUUUGAGGGGUCUUGAGACUUUGAGCCUAAAUGGUUGUGGAAUUGUGGGUCCAAUCCCUUCUGCUUUGGGUCAGUUAAUAAAUCUCAAAUAUUUGGGUCUAUUGGAAAACAAAAUUAAUGGAUCUAUUCCAUCUGAAGUUGGAUUCUUAUCAAACUGAUUUUUGAUCUCUUCGACAACAGACUGGUUGGUUCAAUACCUUUUUCCUUGUACCCAUUAACUAAUAUGGAAAUUUUGUCCCUUGGUAAUAACCAGCUUGAAGGUUCCAUCCCUUGGAAUAUUGAAAAUUCGAAGAACAUCAAGAUUUUAAGCAUCAUUAAUAAUAGUUUUUCUGGUCGUAUCCCCCCAGCUUUGUGUCGUUUGACAAAUUUGGAAUAUAUUGACCUUGGCAAAAAUCAAAUCAGUGGUUUAAUCCCAUCUUGUUUUGGCAAUUUAUCCAAUUCGGAUACCUUAGAACUUGAUUCAAAUCUAUUAAAAGGUCCUAUCCCUGAAGAAAUUGGUAGGCUUUUUCACCUAUCAAGUUUAAACCUCAGCUUCAAGCAACUCUCAGGUAGUGUCCGUAUCUUGUUUGCCACUAAGCUUCGAAUUAUCAUGCUGGAAUUAACUGUAACAAGAUUUCUACCGAUCCAUUUGAAGGCAAUAGUCAUCUAUCACCCUAUAUGUGUCCUUCUCCAGUAACCAACAAAGCCAACAGCAGUACAAUUCUUUACUAUAUCAACAUAUUCCUCCCUAUUGCCAUCUUCUUCACAUUCUCCAUUUUGGGAUAUUUUCUAUUUUCACGAUUUAACCUCAAGAAUAACCGUGUCGGUGUACAACCGACGAAGAAUGGGGAUUUGUGUUCCAUAUGGAACUACGAUGGAAAGAUAGCAUACGAGGAUAUUGUUGCAGCAACAGAGGAUUUCGACUUUCGAUACUGUAUAGGAGUUGGUGGUGAUGGAAGUGUUUACAGAGCACAACUACCUUGUGGUAAAGUAGUUGCCUUGAAGAAACUUCAUCGUUUAGAAGCUGAAAAUCCAGCCUUUGACAAGAGCUUCAGGAAUGAGAUCAAGUUUCUAACAGAAAUACGACAUCGAAGCAUCGUAAAGCUUCAUGGGUUUUGUCUACACCGACGGUCCAUGUUUUUGAUCUAUGAGUACAUGGAAAGAGGGAGUUUGUUCUGCAACCUAAGAGAUGAAGUGGAAGCUAUGGAAAUGGAUUGGACAAAAAGAGUGGAGAUCAUCAAGGGCAUAGCGCAUGCUUUGUCUUACUUGCACUAUGAUUGCAGCCCUCCAAUAGUUCAUCGAGACAUAUCAAGUAACAAUGUUCUUUUAAAC